GCCUUCCCUGACCUCUCCAACAAAGAUUAAAACCCAAGUCGGAAGGAUCAUACGUGUUUUUGCUUAUCAUUGCUAGACGCAAGUCGCCACCACCAUGACUUGAGCACCAUUGGAAAAGAGGUAAGGAUCCUCUAAUCUUUAAGUUUAAUUGGUUUACCAUCCUCCUUAACCCUCAAAGCUUUUUGAAUUUUUCUUAAAAAUUUGAUUCACUAUUUUUCCAUGAUAUUUUAAGGAUUUUUCUAGUUUCGAUUGUUGCCACCGAACACC
This 267-nucleotide long non-coding RNA is filed under the name Elaeis guineensis (African oil palm). Its description in RNAcentral is "long non-coding RNA (EGUI_LNC000468)". The record is from RNAcentral. Lineage: Eukaryota; Viridiplantae; Streptophyta; Magnoliopsida; Arecales; Arecaceae.